Molecule: long non-coding RNA, 6307 nt
Filed under: Triticum aestivum (bread wheat)
Lineage: Eukaryota; Viridiplantae; Streptophyta; Magnoliopsida; Poales; Poaceae
Description: long non-coding RNA (TAES_LNC026040)
Source: RNAcentral
UCUGAAAUAACCCUUUUCUAUUUUCGCCGAAUAACGAACCACCUGGCUUCGUAACAACAAUUUUUACCCUAUUAUUACGUGCACGCUGCUGGUACUGACACUUGUUGGCUAGGUGUAGUCACUGAGGGGAGAAGGGCCAGAUACUAUUUUUUUUGUUCUCUUGGCCACGGACUUCUCCUGUACUACUUUGCUGGAUUUGGUGUUUUUUCUUGGUUGGGUUGCUUCUUGGUUCAUGCUUGUCGUUCGGUUUGUUGAAAGUUAUAUACACUAAUUUUGCGCCACACGUGCGUUCCAUCUCGCUAUCUGACUCUCGUUUUCGUUGGAUAUUAUAUCACGCACGUGAAGUCGGAUUUGGGAUUUUCGUCCUGCGUUAUGUAGGUGCGGCCUAGGCUCGUUCGUACCGUAACAAUCACCUGUGGAGCCUCUCUCCGUGCUACGUCGUGGAGACUCUUCCUGGAGUCGUGCGUGCCGCAGAAUUGCAGCGUAGGCCGUUGUCACGCACGAAUGUGAUGCCUGGUCGGUUGUCUCCGCCAGGCAGCUCGAUUUGACGUCAGGUAGACGUGCCAAAUGCGGCGGUGGCGGCUUCUCGAGACGGUCCCUAUGCUAGCUAGAAGAUGAAAAGAUGGAUGAACGUGACGCCAUUGUCGUGGUUGAUGGAUGCAGUCGUGUAGAGAUAUAUCAUACGCCGACAUGGCCAGUGGACAUGGUUUCCUGGUGGAAUAACCGGUCGGGAGGUGGCCAUUGCUCGAGAAUAUAUGCCAUCCAAACCCUUUUUGGCCGGCGGCUCGAAGAUGCUGAACGCAGCUUUUAUUCGCUGUUUAUGUUGUGUUCGUAUAAAGUGAAAGGUCGUGGAGGCGAAAAAGCUCAAGAGAGGGAUUUAUUCGUACUGAUCUUAUUCGUUUUCAUCGGUUUGCGUUUUACUUCCGGGCUUUUUCAGCCCCCCUCAAUGAAUGUACACGAGUUCUUGUGCAGAUUCUUUGAAAACAAAAAAAGGAAAGGGACGAAGGGGGGAGGCGCGUUUCGGCUCCCGGGAGCAUUCACUCCCGCAUGAAAUAGUACCUCAAAAAAAGUGGUAAAAUGUUUUCAAAAAAUUCUGAUUUUCUGGAUGUUCGUGUUAGUGUCACAAGCAUGCUUCAAUUUUCAUGCGGAACGGAGUAGUGUUUCGUCGGUGAAAAAAAUAAAUUUAAGAUGACAUUUUUGUGUAACAUUUGGUAUUCAAUUUCUUUUAUUUUGCACAGGCUAAAAUCUUUAACCUUUUUGCCUGAAACUUUACAGGUAGCAUUUUGAUGUGACUAUGAAUGCAUAAAAAAACUGUUGAGAUUUUUCUAACAUUUCAAAAAUCAUUUUUCGCACGGGAGCGAAAUUGGAUUUUCGCGAAGGCUUAUGCAUGUGUAAACCCUGUUUGUGCAGGAGAAGGGAGAAGAGGAUAGAGGAGAGGAGAGCGCCGUCGGCCAAGAAGAGCGUGGCAGGGGCAUCCGGUGCAAAGAGUGGCAGCAAAUGCACAAUCCUCUAGCUGAAACCAUCGGACGUGCAUAGUGUGCGUGUGGUGCGCUCGGAGCGCUGGUCCCCGACCGACGCAUCUGAGCUGUUGUAUGUAUGUAUCAAUGUGUGUUCAUGUGUAUCCCGGUGUGUGAUGGCGAUCGGCCUACGACUGUAACCGUUCUCAAGGUAAACGAAUAAAAGUGCUCUCUGUCUUGCGGAAAAGGAAGAAAGUGUAGAAACAAGGCGUGGCGGAGCUUGAGACUUUAAUAACCAUCACGGACAGGUCGACAGAUUCCUCAUCAAAAAAAAAAAACACGGACAGGUCGACAGAUCCACCGUUAGAUAUGGCGAAGCGCACGGCCAUCGGGUCUCGGCAUUGUUUUUUUUGUUAGAAAUGGAGAAGGACCCUGGCCUUUGCAUCUGAACGAUGCAUGCAGCCACUUUAUUAAUUAUUAACACAAGAUUUUAUAAAGUCAUAUAACAGUAAGACUAAAAUCAUCAUCUAGUCAACAUCUGUUACUACUCAUAUCCAGUUGAUGAAGGGAUGCUGAUAGUCUGGGCCUAAUGCCAAACAGAUCUCACAGCCAAACCUAAGAGCAACUUCAAAGGGCCGACCCAUUUCGUCCGCCUGCGUCCGUUUGGGUCGGCGCGGACAAAAGUGGCGGCCCAACGCGCCGACCCAAACCCAAAUCACGUCCGCGUCGCGUCCACGCCGACGCAUUUGCGUCCCAAAUUUGCGCCCCAAAUGUGUCCGCCGCGUCCCCACAUGGUGGCCGUCCAACUACCCGCUGCCCACGCGGUCAGCUUAAUUUAUGACGAUGGGCCCACACGUCAGCGACGGCGCUCGCCCUUUUUUAAGCCGACCGUGCGGCGGGGUCGUCCUCAUCCAAACUCGCGCGUCCACAUCUGUCAUCCUUUGCUCCCUCGUCGCCGGCAAACCCUAGCCACCACAACCACAGCGAGAUGGGCCUCUUCUCCGGCGCCAGCGGCAGCAAGGCCAAGGGCAAGUCCCCCGCCACCCCUUUCCUCCCGCCUCCGCCGGCGUCGACGCCUCCGCCGGCGUCGACGCCUCGCCGGCAGAGGCAGCGCGUGGACGUGGCACCGCGGCGGGCGUAGGCCCUUACCCUCUCCGCGGCGGGCGACAGCGUGGUGCCGCCGGUGGCCCCGCCGUCCCCCAUCAAGCCGGAGCCGGAGCCCGAGCCGUCCCCCAUCGAGCGCUACUCUUGGACGGGAGUAGUGCGCGAGUGUGUACGCGCGCCGCCGGUCUGGAUGGGAGCGAUGCCGGCGCAGGAGCGGGCGUACCUCGAGCACUAGCACAAGAUUAGGGUGGCCAAGGAGCGUCGCGACGGUGAGUACCUCGAGAUGCUCGAGCGCGACCUCGAGGAGGAGCAGCGUGAGGCCGAGGAGGAGGCGCGCCAGGCCGCGGCUGCACAGGCGGCUUCACAACCCCCCGCGCCGGCACUGCCCGACAUGACGGCGCUCUGGAACACGGCGUUCGCCUGGGCCGGACCGGCGCCGACGCUCAUCGACCUCACGGACCCCGAGGACGAUGACGAGGACGCCUAGGGCAGCGCGCCGCCUCGUAGUUUAGGCUGUUUUUAUUUUUUUAAAUGCAAAUGUGGACGCGUGGACUCUCGCCGGCCUUCGUCACCGGCUUUAAUGUUUGAUUAAUGUUGUUUCUCUUUUUUAAUAUGCAUGCGUUCAAUUUUUUUGCGCCGUCAAAAAUGUGUCCAGGCCAACGUUGGGUGAUACGUCUCCGUCGUAUCUAUAAUUUUUGAUUGUUCCAUGCCAAUAUUCUACAACUUUCAUAUACUUUUGGCAACUUUUUAUACUAUUUUUGGGACUAACAUAUUGAUCCAGUGCCCAGUGUCAGUUCCUGUUUGUUGCAUGUUUUUUGUUUCGCAGAAUAUUCAUACCAAACGGAGUUCAAACGGGAUAAAAACUGAUGGAGAUUUUUUUUGGAAUAUAUAUGAUUUUUGGGAAGAAAAAUUCACGUGAGACGAUGCCCGAGGGGGCCACGAGGCAGGGGGGACGCGCCCUAAGGGGCAGGCGAGCCCCUGACCCUCGUGGCCACCCCGUAAGGCGGUUGGUACCCUUCUUUCGCCGCAAGAAAGCUAAUAUCCGGAUAGAGAUCGUGUUAAAUUUUUAGCCCAAUCAAAGUUACGGAUCUUCGGAAAUAUAAGAAACAGUAAAAGGGGAGAAUCUGAGAACGCAGAAACAGAGAGAGACAGAGAGACAGAUCCAAUCUCGGAGGGGCUCUCGCCCCUCCCACGCCAUGGAGGCCAUGAACCAGAGGGGAAACCCUUCUCCCAUCUAGGGAGGAGGUCAAGGAAGAAGAAGAAGGAGGGGGGCUCUCUCCCCCUCGCUUUCGGUGGCGCCGGAGUGUCACCGGGGGCCAUCAUCAUCACCGCAAUCUUCACCAACAACUUCACCGUCAUCAUCACCAACUCUUCCCCCCCCUCUAUGCAGCGGUGUAACCUCUCUCUUACCCGCUGUAAUCUCUACUUAAACAUGGUGCUCAACGCUAUAUAUUAUUUCCCAAUGAUGUAUGGCUAUCCUAUGAUGUUUGAGUAGAUCCGUUUUGUCCUAUGGGUCAUUUGAUGAUCAUGAUUGGUUUGAGUUGCAUGUUUUAUUAUUGGUGCUAUCCUAUGGUGCUCUCCAUGUCGCGCAAGCGUGAGGGAUUCCCACUGUAGGGUGUUGCAAUAUGUUUAUGAUUCGCUUAUAAUGGGUUGCGUGAGUGACUGAAACACAAACCCGAGUAAGGGGGGUUACUGCGUAUGGGAUAAAGAGGACUUGAUGCUUUAAUGCUAUGGUUGGGUUUUACCUUAAUGAUCUUUAGUAGUUGCGGAUGCUUGCUAGACUUCCAAUCAUAAGUGCAUAUGAUCCAAGUAGAGAAAGUAUAUUAGCUUAUGCCUCUCCCUCAUAUAAAAUUACAAUAAUGAUUACCGGUCUAGUUAUCGAUUGCCUAGGGACAAAUGACUUUCUCUUGACAACAAGCUCUCUACUAAAACUAAUUUAGUUGUGUCUUUACCUAAACAACCCCUACUUUUUAUUUACUUGCUCUUUAUUAUCUUGCAAACCUAUCCAACAACACCUACAAAGUACUUCUAGUUUCAUACUUGUUCUAGGUAAAGCGAACGUCAAGCAUGUGUAGAGUUGUAUCGGUGGUCGAUAGAACUUGAGGGAAUAUUUGUUCUGCCUUUAGCUCCUCGUUGGGUUCGACACUCUUACUUAUCAAAAACUGUUGCGAUCCCCUAUACUUGUGGGUUAUCAAGACCUUUUUCUGGCGCCGUUGCCGGGGAGUAAUAGCGUGGGGUGAAUAUUCUCGUGUGUGUUUGUUUGCUUUAUCACUAAGUAAUUUUUAUUUGUUGUUCUUAGUUGUUUUCUAUCUUCAUUUAUGGGUAGGAAACACAAAAUACCAAAAAAAAUCAGUUGUACCUACUAAACCAAUGGUUGAAGAACCACUCAAAAUCUAUCACACUGCUGAAACUUAUUACUUGCAUCAUCUUCGAUCCCUAUGUGCUCGUGCUGAAACCCCAACUAGCUUAGUUGAGGGCUAAUCUUUAGAUGAGCAUGCUUGUUAUGUGCGACACCAAAUAUCUGAAAAAGGGAAAAUUUUACUGGGUCAAAUUCAUCGUUUGCAAUGCUAUGCUUGGAAUUUAUGCGAAAUAUAUGAUAUUACUUGUUGUUCUGAAAACCCUAAGAAACACCUUCCCUAUCAAUGUGAGUUUAGUGAUAAUGGAAUCGUAUCUUCGUAUGCUAAGGGUGUUUAUAGUUAUUAUGAUGUCCAACAAAUUGAAGAAUCUGUUGCUUUUAAGGGUGCUCAUGAAAUUGCUUCUUUGAUUGAAACAUAUGAUGCUACUCUUUACAAAUUUGAAAAUUUGACAUACUUAAAUAUUGCUAUGAUAAUUAUGCUUCUAAUGCCUAUGUUAAACCAUAUAUCGAGGUCUCUUCCGCUGUCCAAGAAGAGACUAAUAUUUUGCAGGAGUCUAUGGAAGAAGAAAUUGAUGAAACUGUGAGCUCAUUGGAUGAAAAAGAUGAGGAAGAGCGGAUUGAUCACCCGUGUCCACCUUCUAAUGAGAGUAACUCUUCAACUCAUACAUUGUUUAAUUCCCUUCAUGCUUACCGAAGGAUGAAUGCUAUGAUCCCGUUGAUUCUUUUGAAAUAUCCCUUUUUAAUGAUGCUUGAUAUGCUUGUGGCCAAGAUGCCAAUAUGAAUUAUGCUUAUGGAGAUGAACUUGCUAUAGUUCCUAAUAUUAAACAUGAAAUUGUUCCUAUUUGCACCCAUGCAUGAUAGUCCUAUUAUCUUUUUGAAUUCUUCCGGCUACACUAUAUCGGAGAAGUUUGCCCUUAUUAAGGAUUACAUUGAUGGGUUACGUUUUACUACUACACAUGAUGAUUUUGAUAGAUAUAAUAUGCAUGUGCUUGCUGCUCCUACUUGCAAUUAUUAUGAGAGAGGAACUAUAUCUCCACCUCUCUAUGUUUCCCACAUGAUAAAAUUGCAAAAAAACUGUUUAUACUAUGCAUUGGCAUUACUAUGUGUGCAUGAAUUGUUCUUUUAUGACAUGCCGAUGCAUAGGAAGAGAGUUAGACUUCGUCAUUACAUUGUAUAUGUUACUUUGUGCUCACAACUAAAUUACAAAUCAUUGUUAAUUAAAAUGGCAUUGAUAUACCUUGGGAUCCGGGUGGAUCCAUUACUUGAGCACUAUAUGCCUAGCUUAAUGGCUUUAAAGAAAGCACUGACAGGGAGACAAUCCGGAAGUUUUAGAGAGUCAUUUAUUUCUGUUGAGUGCUUUUAUAUAGUUUAAAAACAAAAAAAAAAUAAA